AGAUCAAAUUGUUGGUCGUGCCUCUGGUACGUACUGAUUUUAUUGGUUUCUCCCUUCUGACGAACCGUGAUGUCAUUAAUUUGGUGUCGCGGGGAAUUAGGACUGUUACCUUGAAAAAAUUAGAGUGUUUAAAGCAAGCUCACGCUUGAAUACAUUAGCAUGGAAUAAUGAAAUAGGACAUUGUAUUCUAUUUUGUUGGUUUCUAGGAUCGAUGUA
RNAcentral lists this ribosomal RNA (216 nucleotides) under Campeiostachys nutans. RNAcentral's name for it is "Elymus nutans partial small subunit ribosomal RNA". The stretch from base 38 to 216 matches the Rfam family "Eukaryotic small subunit ribosomal RNA", at positions 684 to 864 of the family's 1831-position model. Lineage: Eukaryota; Viridiplantae; Streptophyta; Magnoliopsida; Poales; Poaceae. The record is from RNAcentral.